CAUUGAAAAACUGGUUUCCAUAUGAUCACUGAAGUUAAGCAACAUCAAACCUGGUCUGUACAUAGAUGGGUGACCAGUUGGGAAUACCAGGAGCUGUAAG
Non-coding RNA from Acanthosepion pharaonis, 100 nucleotides. The record is from the annotation of a GenBank genome assembly. Lineage: Eukaryota; Metazoa; Mollusca; Cephalopoda; Sepiida; Sepiidae.